This is an RNA transcript of Phymastichus coffea, 1682 nucleotides long. It is a transcript of the gene named WD repeat and FYVE domain-containing protein 2-like, with no coding region annotated. The record is from RefSeq and is a predicted model, not a curated record. Lineage: Eukaryota; Metazoa; Arthropoda; Insecta; Hymenoptera; Eulophidae. The transcript has 5 exons.
CCGAGCCGGCCUAGAUUUCUUAUGCGGACGCCAUCUCUAUAAUUUCGUGUUCAAUGGCGAGUUUCAUAGUGAAUGCAAGAAACGCAUCUAUGGAGUGGCAGUACCCGUGGUUUGAAGUUUCCUGUCUGGCUGUCUCUAUGCUCUGGCUAUCCUCCAUGUUCCUGCUCCAAUUUUCAUUCGAGUCAUAUGCACGAAGAGUUAGGCUUUCGAAAUCCGUCAACUGUCAAAUGACAAGUAGUAGCAGCAGCAGCAGUAGUAGUUGUAGUAGCAGUAGUAGCUGAGGGCAGGUGGUAGGUGAGAGAAUCACAAUGGCAGCCGAAAUCAAGCCCGCGCCCGGGAUGAACCAGGACAAGUUCAGCUCCAAGAAGCCUAUACUUCUGUCAAAGCUCGAGGGUUGCAAUGACGACGUCAAUGCCGCCGUUAUCAUUCCCAGGGUUGACGGCGUCAUCAGCGUCUGCGACGACAGAACUGUCAAAGUUUGGUUGAAACGUGACUCAGGACAAUACUGGCCAAGCGUAUGCAUGUACAUGGUUGCAGCACCAACCUCUCUUGAUUUUUGUCCUGAAACCAGACAGCUGUUUGUUGGAUUAGAUAAUGGCAGUAUAAAUGAGUUUUUAUUGGAAAGCGAUUACAAUCGUAUGACAGCCAUUCGAGAAUACAUGGCUCAUCAAGCAAGAGUUGCUGCAGUAGUUUUUUCUUUGAGCUGUGAAUGGGUACUUAGUAUAGGUAGAGACAAAUUGUUCCAGUUCCACAGUACUGAAAAUGGAAAGGAUCACAUCAAAUAAUAUGUUCAAUAAUCCAAAAGGUAACGUCUACAAAAAGUUGCUGUACCACAUGCAUGGAACAUACACCUACAACAUGGUGAGCAUUAUUAAUUUUAAAAAUGGUUCAAUUUCUGGCAUUCGAUCAAUCUUGGUAGUUGCUACAUUAUUUUGUAUUAUUUUCAUCAAUUUCACGCUUUCAUCAAUGGCUUUUUGUAAGCCAUCGCCAUCAUCUACUUUUCGUUUCCGACAAAAUUUAUAGUGUCAAGACCAAGCAAUAAGAUGCAUAACAUGAAAAGGUUAGAUAGGUUAGAAAUAAUCAACUACAAGAGGUUUUAUUUUAUUAUUUUAAAUUUAUUAAUAAUCAUAUGUUAAAUCAUUAUCAGAUGUUUAAACGUGAGAAAACAACCUAACAUCUCGAAUAAUAUUUUUGGCAUCAUCCCACAGGUGUCUACUGGUGAAACAUGCAGCAUGCCAUUUUUCAACGAGCUCCUUUGUCGCAAUAGGAGUUGAAGACGAUUUAAGUUCCCUCAAGAAUGCCCUCAAUUUUCUCAAGGGAACAUUUAUUACAUUCAGCAUUAUUUGAUAUGCGAUUAUCGUCCUCAAUCGUGCCCAGGACUCUACAUGUGCUUCCUCCAAUUGUAUUAAUUUCUUCCAUUAUCUUUUUUAAUACUAAUCUAUGGCUGAUUAUAUUGAUGUCAAUGUCAAUUAUACCUUCAUUCUCGUUGGAAAACCACAGAAUGAAAUUAUGACUUCUCAUAUUUUCCAAACUGAGAUUGACAACACGAAAAGCUACUGGUACGUAGCGACGAAAAUCAUUUUGCAUGAUGUACUGAAUGGUGAAUUUCAUUUUCACGUUAAGUUUUUCUUCUUCAAAUGGCUUUGAAUGUAAAACAUUUUUCACAGAUAGGUUAUUCAUUA